UGAAAUCUGAAAAAUUGUCGUCGUUAUCGUUGACAUCUCUCUACUCUUCUGUUAGUAACGGAAACGGAAUCCCUCCAUCCUCCACCGCCCUCCCUCUACCAACUUCCCCCCAACUGCUCUGCACAGCAAAGCAAUCACCUUUCGUUUCAUUCUCCCGAGCUUUUUUUCUCGGGAACCAAGCACCCCAUGGCUUCCGAACCGGAGGACGAGAAGAGCUGGGAGGGCCUCCUCAGAAAGAUGCUGCCUGCCGGCGCACCAUUGCCCGACGAAGAGCACCUCGAUUACUCCAUCGCCAUCGAGUACGAAGGUCCCCCGCUGCCCUACGACCUCCCUGAGGUUGAUCCCGUUAACAUCGACUCUCUCAAUCUUCACUCUUCUUCCGUGGCCGCCGGUUCGGUUGAAGCCCCGUCUUCGAUUCCGGUGGCUUCCCCGGUUGGUCAGAAGGUCUCGCGGUUCAAUCGGGCGAGGAACGGCGGCGUUGUGAAGGAGACAAGUAGAACGGUGUCGUUUCCGACUCCGAGGACGCAACCGGAGCUGCGGAACAGCAGGGAAGGAUCGGAAUUUGAAGGAGCGGAGGAAGGUUUCAUCUCUGAGUUGCCGGUUCAAGACUCGAACUUGGAGCAAAAACCGAUCGGCGGCGCCACCGGAGGAAAGAGGGCGGCUGUCGUGACUUUCAAUGAACCAAGAGAUUUGGAGAACGAGGACGACCCCGAAAACGAUAACGACGGCGGUAGGUCGUCGUCGCCGCAAUCGAGCGCCGCCACCGAACAGGUGGGGUCGCCGGUUGCAUGGGCCUCUUCGCCCGGGAGGCGAUCGAGUAAGAGAGGAAUUUGCAGCAGGUGCGGGAAAGGGAACAGAUUGAAGGAGAGAGAAUGGUGUUUGGUGUGCGACGCCAAGUACUGCAGUAAUUGCCUUCUGAAGGCGAUGGGGUCGAUGCCGGAGGGGAGGAAAUGUGUGAGCUGCAUUGGGCAGCCGAUAGACGAGUCGAAAAGGUCGAGCUUGGGCAAGUGUUCGAGGAUUCUGUCGAGGGUUUGCAGCCCUUUGGAGAUUGGGCAGAUAAUGAGGGCCGAGAAGGAGUGCCCCGCCAAUCAGCUCCGGCCGGAGCAGUUGGUUGUGAAUGGGAGGCAGCUGAGGGAAGAAGAACUGGCUGAGAUUUUGGGAUGUGAAUUGCCUCCUCAGAAGUUGAAGCCGGGGAGGUAUUGGUACGAUAAGGAUUCUGGUCUUUGGGGAAAGGAAGGUGAGAAGCCGGGUAGGAUCAUUAGCUCGAAACUCAAUGUUGGGGGUAAGCUUAGGUCCGAUGCUAGCAAUGGGAACACCAAAGUGUUCAUGAAUGGUCGAGAGAUCACAAAGAUUGAGCGUAGGAUGUUGAAGCUGGCCAACGUGCAGUGCCCUCCGGAUACUCAUUUCUGGGUGUAUGAUGACGGCUCUUAUGAGGAGGAAGGUCAAAAUAACAUUAAAGGGAAUAUAUGGGGAAAGGCAUCCACUCGUUUCAUUUGUUCAUUAUUCUCAUUGCCCGUACCAUCUGGUAAUCAAAGUGGGGCAAAAGAAGAUCCUACGACACCUUCAAGCAGGUCAGUCCCCGAAUACUUGGAACAGGGAAGAGUUCAGAAACUUCUGUUAUUUGGCUUGGAGGGAUCUGGAACUAGCACAAUCUUCAAGCAGGCUAAGUUAUUAUAUGGGAACAAGUUCACUUCCGAAGAGCUACAAAACAUCAGACUCAUGAUUCAAAGCAAUAUGUAUAAGUAUCUAAGUAUAUUACUUGAGGGCCGAGAACGUUUUGAAGAGGAGGCAUUGACAGAGAAUAGGAUAUCUUUGUCAGCUGCUCAUGAUUCCCCUUCAGUAGUUGAUGAAAGUGAGCAAUGCAUCUAUGCAAUCAACCAAAGGUUCAAGCACUUUUCUGACUGGUUACUGGAUAUCAUGGCAACCGGAGACUUGGAUGCAUUCUUUCCUGCUGCCACACGUGAGUAUGCUCCUAUUGUGUAUGAAGUGUGGAGAGAUCCUGCCAUCCAGGAAACAUACAAAAGGAGGGAGGAAUUACACUGUUUUCCUGAAGUUGCCAAAUAUUUCUUAGAUAGGGCUAUAGAAAUAUCAAGUAACGAGUAUGAGCCUUCUGAGAAGGACAUUUUAUAUGCUGAGGGUGUUACUCAGAGCAAUGGACUUGCCUCUAUGGAAUUUUCAUUUGAUGACAGAAGUGCCAUGUCUGAGCUAUACAAUGAAACUUAUGAAUACCCCCCUUGCCUUGACUAAGUAUCAACUAAUUCGCAUCAAUUCCAAGGGACUGAGUGAAGGUUUCAAAUGGCUCGAAAUGUUUGAAGACAUGAGGGCAGUGAUAUUUUGUGUUGCGUUGAGUGAUGAUCAAAUGUGGGCCGACGGCAAUGGUCUUCUUCAUAAUAAAAUGCUGGCAAGCAGAGAUUUGUUUGAGAGUUUGGUACGGCACCCUUGUUUCAGAGACACCGCAUUUGUGCUCUUUCUUAACAAAUAUGAUGCCUUUGAAGGCAAGAUAAACCAGGUUCCAUUGUCUGCCUGCGAGUGGCUAAGGGACUUCAGUCCUGUUAAGCCCCAUGGUAAUAAUCAGUCUAUGGCACAGCAAGCAUAUUAUUAUGUGGCGGUGAAAUUCAAAGAGCUCUAUUCAUCCAUAACUGGCGAAAAGUUGUUUGUGGCACAGACCCGAGCUUGGGAGGGUGCCUCAGUUGACGAGGCAUUCAAGUACGUGAGGGAGGUCCUUAAGUGGGAUGAAGAAAAGAAUGACAAUUUCUUUGCAAUAAACGGGGACGACUCAUUUUACAGCACAGAGAUGAGUUCUCCUCCUGUCAGGCAGGAAUAGACCAGGCUACUACUUGGCUCUGCAAGUGAGUACCAUUCGAAGUGAAAGAUUGAAGGCGUGAAAUUGUCGCUGCGGAAACACUGAAACAGCUCCAACGGACAAGCGGGGUUCCUUGCUGCCAUUUGAUUAACUGAUGGAAGAACGAUUAACGAAGACAGUCGGCUGCAUUUCUUUGUUUCUUAGUUCUUUUCCUUCUUCUUUCUCAGGCCGGACUUGUUUUCGACGUUAGGCCGGAUUUGUUUUCAACUUAGGUCGGACUUGUUUUCGUCUUAGGCCGGAUUUGGUUUCAAGGUUGCUUGACAAUCUUGCUGGUUAGGUACAGGACUGAAAAUUGAUUUGUAACAUAAGCUCAUUUUCAAAGGAGUGGUUUUCUUUUCUGUACAGCAUUUCAAAAGUGAAUAAAAAGCAACUUUCUUAUGGUUUUUACA
Non-coding RNA from Malus domestica (apple), 3252 nucleotides. The record is from RefSeq and is a predicted model, not a curated record. NCBI's taxonomy places the organism in Eukaryota, Viridiplantae, Streptophyta, Magnoliopsida, Rosales, Rosaceae.